Molecule: ribosomal RNA, 252 nt
Filed under: uncultured Bacteroidales bacterium
Lineage: Bacteria; Pseudomonadati; Bacteroidota; Bacteroidia; Bacteroidales
Description: partial 16S ribosomal RNA
Rfam family: Bacterial small subunit ribosomal RNA
Source: RNAcentral
UACGGGGGAUGCGAGCGUUAUCCGGAUUUAUUGGGUUUAAAGGGUGCGUAGGCGGCGCUUCAGGUCAGCGGUAAAAAUUCGGGGCUCAACCCCGUCCGGCCGUUGAAACUGGGGAUCUAGAGUGUGCGAGAGGUAUGCGGAAUGCGUGGUGUAGCGGUGAAAUGCAUAGAUAUCACGCAGAACCCCGAUUGCGAAGGCAGCAUACCGGCGCCCAACUGACGCUGAGGCACGAAAGCGUGGGGAUCGAACAGG